RNAcentral lists this non-coding RNA (27 nucleotides) under Rattus norvegicus (Norway rat). The record is from RNAcentral. Lineage: Eukaryota; Metazoa; Chordata; Mammalia; Rodentia; Muridae.
UGAACAUUUCUCACCAAAUGUCGCUUA